UCCUGGCUCAGAUUGAACGCUGGCGGAAUGCUUUACACAUGCAAGUCGAACGGCAGCACGGGAGCUUGCUCCUGGUGGCGAGUGGCGAACGGGUGAGUAACAUAUCGGAACGUACCCAGUCGUGGGGGAUAACUAUCCGAAAGGAUAGCUAAUACCGCAUACGUCCUGAGGGAGAAAGCGGGGGAUCGCAAGACCUCGCGCGAUUGGAGCGGCCGAUAUCGGAUUAGCUAGUUGGUGGGGUAAAGGCUCACCAAGGCGACGAUCCGUAGCGGGUCUGAGAGGACGACCCGCCACACUGGAACUGAGACACGGUCCAGACUCCUACGGGAGGCAGCAGUGGGGAAUUUUGGACAAUGGGGGCAACCCUGAUCCAGCCAUUCCGCGUGAGUGAAGAAGGCCUUCGGGUUGUAAAGCUCUUUCAGCAGGAACGAAACGGUCAGCUUUAAUAAAGUCGGCUAAUGACGGUACCUGCAGAAGAAGCACCGGCUAACUAC
Molecule: ribosomal RNA, 494 nt
Filed under: uncultured bacterium
Lineage: Bacteria
Description: bacterial SSU rRNA
Rfam family: Bacterial small subunit ribosomal RNA
Source: RNAcentral